UCAUUAACAUCAGAAUCCUUCCUGGUCUCCGGCCGACUGCCCAUCGCGGGGGUCAAAGGCAGCGAGCACGACGCUUUGAAUCCAAGCAGCCAACCGAUUUUUUCGUCGCUGUUUUUCCCUUCAAAAGCUCACCUUUCCGUUUUGUUUUGUUUUGUUUAUCGCUCUCCGGGCGCCCUCGCUGCUUUAGGUCCCGGCUGCGCUCUCCAUCCUCCCUCCCAACCCCGAGGUGUUCCCCGAGGAGCCGGGGGCGAGCAGCGAGACCACGGCGGGGCCGUGCCCGGAGCUCGGACCCAAACCCAAACCCAGACCCGGACCCAAACCCAGACCCGGACCCGGACCCCGCGGCCAUCCCGCGGCGCCCCGCGCCCGGUGCCGCUCCGCACCCGCGCAGGGAGGCGGCGGGGCAGCCGGGCAUCCCCUCCGGUCCCCCACCUGGCCGCCGCGCCUCCCCACCCGCGGAGACCCCCCGCGCGAUUCCGGGGGAUCCCCGGUCCCUCGGGUCCCGUCCCCGGAGGAGGGGGUCCGAGGGGGGCGCGGGGGCAGCCCCCUCGUACUCACCGCGGCGGCCACGGCGCCGAGCUCGGCGCUGAGCAGCAGCCCGAAGCCCAGCCAGAGCCGCAUGCUGCCGCGCACCGUGCCGGCGGCUCGGCGUGGGGGCUCCGCGGGGCCGGCCCCAAAGCCGUGCCUCUCCCCUCCGUGGCGGCCGCGGCGCCUGCAAUGCGAGGGACUCGCCUCGCCGUAACCGAUGGGCGGCGGCAGCCCCCUCUCCUCCCCCCGGGCGGAGACCCUGGGAGCGCGCAACCUCGCCCGCUCCCCGCGGUUCCUCCUCCUCCUCCUCCUCCUCCUCCUCCUCCGCCCGCCACGGGUGGGUGCGGGCGGGCGGCGGGGGGAGAGGCGCCGCUUCCUCGCCCCACACCGCCCGGGAGGGCGCGGAGAGGAGCGGAGCGGGCGCGGAGCGGGGCAGGGGCCGGGGGCGUCCCGGGCAGGGCGGCUGCGAGCCACCCCCCCCGGCAGCGCCUCGCCGAGCUCCGGAGGGUGCCCGGCGUCGGGAGCGGGCUCGGCUCGGCUCGCAGGGGACGGCCCGGCGGCGGGAGGAAGCCGUGA
RNAcentral lists this long non-coding RNA (1104 nucleotides) under Anser brachyrhynchus (Pink-footed goose). RNAcentral describes it as "lncRNA (ENSABRG00000007380.1)". The record is from RNAcentral. Lineage: Eukaryota; Metazoa; Chordata; Aves; Anseriformes; Anatidae.